Molecule: ribosomal RNA, 744 nt
Filed under: uncultured bacterium
Lineage: Bacteria
Description: bacterial SSU rRNA
Rfam family: Bacterial small subunit ribosomal RNA
Source: RNAcentral
AGAGUUUGAUCAUGGCUCAGAACGAACGCUGGCGGCAGGCCUCAAACAUGCAAGUCUAGGGGGUGUAGCAAUACAUCACCGGCGGACGGGUGCGUAACACGUGGGAAUAUACCUUUUGGUUCGGAACAACGCAGGGAAACUUGCGCUAAUACCGAAUGUGCCCUUACGGGGAAAGAUUUAUCGCCAAAGGAUUAGCCCGCGUCCGAUUAGCUAGUUGGUGAGGUAAUGGCUCACCAAGGCUCCGAUCGGUAGCUGUUCUGAGAGGAAGAUCAGCCACACUGGGACUGAGACACGGCCCAGACUCCUACGGGAGGCAGCAGUUGGGAAUCUUGGACAAUGGGGGAAACCCUGAUCCAGCCAUGCCGCGUGAGUGAUGAAGGCCUUCGGGUUGUAAAACUCUUUCGACGGGGACGAUAAUGACGGUACCCGUAGAAGAAGCUCCGGCUAACUUCGUGCCAGCAGCCGCGGUAAUACGAAGGGGGCUAGCGUUGUUCGGAAUUACUGGGCGUAAAGCGCGCGCAGGCGGUUUUUCAAGUCAGUGGUGAAAGCCCGGAGCUCAACUCCGGAACUGCCAUUGAAACUGUGAAACUUGAGGAUGAGAGAGGUGAGUGGAAUUCCCAGUGUAGAGGUGAAAUUCGUAGAUAUUGGGAAGAACACCGGUGGCGGAGGCGGCUCACUGGCUCAUUUCUGACGCUCAGGCGCGACAGCGUGGGGAUCAAACAGGAUUAGAUACCCUAGUAGUCC